This 598-nucleotide ribosomal RNA is filed under the name Holtermanniella nyarrowii. RNAcentral describes it as "eukaryotic LSU rRNA". It matches the Rfam family "Eukaryotic large subunit ribosomal RNA", at positions 59 to 644 of the family's 3401-position model. The record is from RNAcentral. Lineage: Eukaryota; Fungi; Basidiomycota; Tremellomycetes; Holtermanniales.
AAGAAACUAACAAGGAUUCCCCUAGUAACGGCGAGUGAAGCGGGAUGAGCUCAAAUUUGUAAUCUGGUGGACUCAGUUCAUCCGAGUUGUAAUCUAUAGAAAAGUUUUCCGCGUCGGACCGUGUCUAAGUCCCUUGGAACAGGGUGUCAGAGAGGGUGAGAAUCCCGUGCUUGAUACGACCACCGAUGCUAUGUGAUACUUUUUCAACGAGUCGAGUUGUUUGGGAAUGCAGCUCAAAAUGGGUGGUAAAUUCCAUCUAAAGCUAAAUAUUGGCGAGAGACCGAUAGCGAACAAGUACCGUGAGGGAAAGAUGAAAAGCACUUUGGAAAGAGAGUUAAACAGUACGUGAAAUUGUUAAAAGGGAAACGAUUGAAGUCAGUCGUGCUCUCUGAGAUUCAGCCAGUUAUUCUGGUGUAUUUCUCAGUGAGCGGGUCAACAUCAGUUUAGAUCGCUGGAUAAGGUCAUUAGGAAUGUGGCUCCCUCGGGAGUGUUAUAGCCUAGUGUCGCAUACAGUGGUUUAGACUGAGGAACGCAGCUCGCCUUUAUGGCCGGGGUUCGCCCACGUCCGAGCUUAGGAUGUUGACAUAAUGGCUUUAAA